This 253-nucleotide ribosomal RNA is filed under the name uncultured bacterium. Its description in RNAcentral is "partial 16S ribosomal RNA". It matches the Rfam family "Bacterial small subunit ribosomal RNA", at positions 524 to 776 of the family's 1533-position model. The record is from RNAcentral.
UACGUAGGGGGCAAGCGUUGUCCGGAAUCAUUGGGCGUAAAGAGCGUGUAGGCGGCCCGAUAAGUCCGCUGUGAAAGUCCAGGGCUCAACCUCGAGACGCCGAUGGAAACCAAUUGGCUAGAGUCCGGAAGAGGAGAGUGGAAUUCCCGGUGUAGCGGUGAAAUGCGCAGAUAUCAGGAAGAACACCCGUGGCGAAGGCGGCUCUCUGGGACGGUACUGACGCUGAGACGCGAAAGCGUGGGGAGCGAACAGG